GUCGUAGCUUCAGUCCCAACGACAGAUACUAAAAUUGGAACAAUACAGAGAAGAAACAUUAUCCUGCGCAAGAAUGCUACGAAACAUCGUAAAGCAUUCCACAUUUUU
This is a small nuclear RNA of Topomyia yanbarensis, 108 nucleotides long. Lineage: Eukaryota; Metazoa; Arthropoda; Insecta; Diptera; Culicidae. The record is from RefSeq and is a predicted model, not a curated record.